This 257-nucleotide ribosomal RNA is filed under the name uncultured bacterium. Its description in RNAcentral is "partial 16S ribosomal RNA". It matches the Rfam family "Bacterial small subunit ribosomal RNA", at positions 524 to 776 of the family's 1533-position model. The record is from RNAcentral.
UACGGAGGGGGGCUAGCGUUGUUCGGAAUUACUGGGCGUAAAGCGCGCGUAGGCGGACCUGCAAGUCGGGGGUGAAAGCCCGAGGCUCAACCUCGGAACUGCCUUCGAUACUGUGGGUCUCGAGUCCGGGAGAGGUGAGUGGAAUUCCUAGUGUAGAGGUGAAAUUCGUAGAUAUUAGGAAGAACACCAGUGGCGAAGGCGGCUCACUGGCCCCGGUACUGACGCGUGAGGCGGCGAAAGCGUGGGGAGCAAACAGG